AUUGAACGCUGCGGAAUGCUUAACACAUGCAAGUCGGCGGUAACACUUCGGGUGACGAGCGGCGGACGGGCGCGUAACGCGUGAGAAUCACCUUUUAUCGGGGGGACAACCCGAGGAAACUCGGGCUAAUACCGCAUAUGUCCUACGGGAUAAAGCAGGGGACCUUCGGGCCUUGCGCUAAAAGAUGAGCUCGCGUUAGAUUAGCUUGUUGGUAGGGUAAAGGCCUACCAAGGCAACGAUCUAUAGCUGGUCUGAGAGGAUGAUCAGCCACACUGGGACUGAGACACGGCCCAGACUCCUACGGGAGGCAGCAGUGGGGAAUAUUGGACAAUGGGGGCAACCCUGAUCCAGCAAUUCCGCGUGUGUGAAGAAGGCCCGAGGGUUGUAAAGCACUUUCAGUAGCCAAAAUGGGAUUUUACACUAAUAUUGUGAAAUCUUGAUAUUAACUACAGAAGAAGCACCGGCUAACUCCGUG
RNAcentral lists this ribosomal RNA (475 nucleotides) under uncultured bacterium. Its description in RNAcentral is "bacterial SSU rRNA". It matches the Rfam family "Bacterial small subunit ribosomal RNA", at positions 30 to 507 of the family's 1533-position model. The record is from RNAcentral.